AUGGAAGAAAAGAAAGGAAGAGAAGAGAAGGAGACGAUGGAGGAGGAGAAAAGCGAAGAACAAUGUAAAUAAGAAAAUGGAGAAAAGAACGACACACGAAGGAGGAGAAAGAGAAGAUAAUACUAGCUACGAUGUUACAAAUGACAUGCAACAUUAUUAUGGACCGUCCAUAUAAUAGAUAGUAGAAUAUUAUCCAUUAAUAACUGAUAAGAUAGUAAAAGCCUGGCGGACCAGUGAAAACCUCCACCAGCAGCUUAAAGGCCAGUUCUCAGGCUGCAGAAAUGAAACGGGAACUUUCCAAAGCCUGACCUUGGGAAUCCUGGACCAGAAGAUAAAUAACUUUUUGCUGAAUGGAGAAAGUUUCUCUGUACGAUCAAUAAUUUUAUCAGGGCGAGCUAGGCCAAAAGGCAAAAAGGGAGGGCCUGCCACUUUCCUUUGAACCUCCCUUUGCUUCUCUUCAAAAGUAUUUUUUAAAAAUGGCAUUUUUGGACCUCACUGGGAUGCAAAACAAAUAUUUUAUUGCACGUCUUCCCUCCUCUACACUAAAUUUUAAUUGACGGGACUGUUAUUCCCCUGUUGGUCAAACACAUUUGGUUGGGUUGGAGCAAUAUUCACAGCAAAUAAAGGAGAGGGGAAAUUAAAAGCUUAUUUAGCUACCUGGAUUUUAUCAGCCACCCAAUCUGGACAGCAAAGGUAAAUUAGAAAAAUAUAUAUAUAUAAAAACAGAUUUUAAAAAAACCAUCCCAUCAGCUUAAAAUAGUUCUGUCGAUCGCAGAAUCAAACCAAACAAAAUAAACCCCAGGCACCAAGAAGGGGGCGGGAGAUUAAAAAAAAUGAAAAGGGAUGGACGAUGAAUGUGAGCACGGAAUGGAGUCGGUUCAAAAGGGCCCUGUCCACUGGUCGGCUCAAAGCCAAAAAGCGUCCCCUGAUCUCAUUUUUUUUCCGACCACGGCUUUACAUGCCCAGAAGGCAGCGAAGGAUUUAAUAUAGUUAAUUAUAAUUAACGUUGGCCUGUUCAUAACCUUCCGUCUUCGUUAAGGUCUGGUGUUUCUACUUUGAAACAAAUAUUGACAAAUUGCUGGGUUUUUUUUUUUUUCUUUUGGAGUGUGGCUCCAUAGCAACGGGCGAAAGAGCCGGAUUCGAGAGGGCAGCUGGUGUGGGGAGACGCUCGCGGUCACGUUAAGUGGACAUCAGCGCAAACAAUUCUUAGAAUCGCCAGGAAACAAACAUCGCCCUGCAAAGUAGGCCAGCUUUUGAAGGCUCCGUGAUCUCCCUGGCCGUCGCCUCCCCUUCCUCACCAAUGACUGACAUGCGUUUGCGCACGUGAUUGAAGUCCAAAAUAGCCAGAAGUUGCAUUUCAAACGUCAGCUUCAAUCUCCCUUCCCCACCUGGGCACUUCUCUUCAGACAUGACGGUGUGGCAGAGCGACAGGAGACGGAAAAACUCGUGGACGUGAAGAUCACCCAGCUUGACCGUUUCCAAAAGCCCGGUGUCCCAGAAGAUCCAACUGCCGGCGUUGUUACCUUUCCGAGCUCCGCCUUGUAUCCAAGAUCAUCCAGAGCGUCUCCUGCGGAAAAGACCCAGACUCAGAGUGGGGAAGAGGAGCAAGAAAAGCAUCAGUUCUUCCAAAUACAGGAUGACCACCCUGCAGAGCAGGCCACGGGCUUGACUGCCCCCUGGUGGAACGUUCCCAGAAAAUUCUCUGCCUCAGUUUGUCGACUGGAAAAACUAAAACGGUGUCAGGUAUCUACUCAAUGCCCCCCAGGGCUAGGAAAAAGGCAGACUCUGCGUCCUAAAAAGAGAGAACGAAGAGCACUGGGUUCGAAACCACGGGCGCGGAGCGGGC
Long non-coding RNA from Crotalus tigris (Tiger rattlesnake), 1846 nucleotides. RefSeq lists it as uncharacterized. The record is from RefSeq and is a predicted model, not a curated record. The transcript is spliced from 5 exons. NCBI's taxonomy places the organism in Eukaryota, Metazoa, Chordata, Lepidosauria, Squamata, Viperidae.